AGUGAACGCUGGCGGUAGGCCUAACACAUGCAAGUCGAACGGCAGCACAGUAAGAGCUUGCUCUUACGGGUGGCGAGUGGCGGACGGGUGAGGAAUACAUCGGAAUCUACUUUUUCGUGGGGGAUAACGUAGGGAAACUUACGCUAAUACCGCAUACGACCUACGGGUGAAAGCAGGGGAUCUUCGGACCUUGCGCGAUUGAAUGAGCCGAUGUCGGAUUAGCUAGUUGGCGGGGUAAAGGCCCACCAAGGCGACGAUCCGUAGCUGGUCUGAGAGGAUGAUCAGCCACACUGGAACUGAGACACGGUCCAGACUCCUACGGGAAGCAGCAGUGGGGAAUAUUGGACAAUGGGCGCAAGCCUGAUCCAGCCAUACCGCGUGGGUGAAGAAGGCCUUCGGGUCGUAAAGCCCUUUUGUUGGGAAAGAAAAGCAGCAGGUUAAUACCCCGCUGUUCUGACGGUACCCAAAGAAUAAGCACCGGCUAACUUCGUG
This 492-nucleotide ribosomal RNA is filed under the name uncultured bacterium. Its description in RNAcentral is "partial 16S ribosomal RNA". It matches the Rfam family "Bacterial small subunit ribosomal RNA", at positions 29 to 507 of the family's 1533-position model. The record is from RNAcentral.